This 427-nucleotide ribosomal RNA is filed under the name uncultured prokaryote. Its description in RNAcentral is "bacterial SSU rRNA". It matches the Rfam family "Bacterial small subunit ribosomal RNA", at positions 355 to 774 of the family's 1533-position model. The record is from RNAcentral.
UGGGGAAUAUUGCACAAUGGGGGAAACCCUGAUGCAGCCAUGCCGCGUGUGUGAAGAAGGCCUUCGGGUUGUAAAGCACUUUCAGUAGGGAGGAAGGGUUGAUGUCUAAUACGCAUCAGCAUUGACGUUACCUACAGAAGAAGCACCGGCUAACUCCGUGCCAGCAGCCGCGGUAAUACGGAGGGUGCAAGCGUUAAUCGGAAUAAAUGGGCGUAAAGAGCACGAAGGCGGUUGGAUAAGUCAGAUGUGAAAUCCCCGGGCUCAACCUGGGAACUGCAUUUGAAACUGUCGGACCAGAGUCUUGUAGAGGGGGGUAGAAUUCCAGGUGUAGCGGUGAAAUGCGUAGAGAUCUGGAGGAAUACCGGUGGCGAAGGCGGCCCCCUGGACAAAGACUGACGCUCAGGUGCGAAAGCGUGGGGAGCAAACA